GGAGAGGUGGGUGAGUGGCUGAAACCACCGGUUUGCUAAACCGACGUCGGGAGCAAUCCUGUCCACGAGUUCGAAUCUCGUCCUCUCCGCCA
RNAcentral lists this transfer RNA (92 nucleotides) under Muribaculaceae bacterium. Its description in RNAcentral is "tRNA-Ser". It matches the Rfam family "tRNA". Rfam says of the family: Transfer RNA (tRNA) molecules are approximately 80 nucleotides in length. Their secondary structure includes four short double-helical elements and three loops (D, anti-codon, and T loops). The record is from RNAcentral. Lineage: Bacteria; Pseudomonadati; Bacteroidota; Bacteroidia; Bacteroidales; Muribaculaceae.